RNAcentral lists this unclassified non-coding RNA (382 nucleotides) under Athalia rosae (coleseed sawfly). RNAcentral's name for it is "misc RNA ENSAEAG00005001916.1". The record is from RNAcentral. Lineage: Eukaryota; Metazoa; Arthropoda; Insecta; Hymenoptera; Athaliidae.
AAACAGGAAGUAAAAUAAUUAAUUAUAAUAAGAGGAAAUGGAAAAGCCACAUUAUGUCAGCGAUACGACAGUUUCCAAGGUUAUUGCAAUUAACAUUGAACUUUUGUUAUUAAAAAAUUACAUUAAUUAGAAAAUUAACAUCUUUCUAGUUGUGAUCAUCAGAUAAAAAUUUGCAUUUAUUUUCCCGAGGCAAAUUCCAUUUAUUUUUCGAGUCAAGUUUUCCUCAUGAUUCUGAAAUCAUACCGCCAUACCGCCUUUGCUGGACCAAGAUUCUACCAGGAAAUUAUACUGAGAUUUGGAGAUGAUGGAUGUCUCCGGAACCAGAGAGACCACCUCUUAAAAGGCGUGAUGUCAAACGAUACCGACCAGAAGUCGACCAAAU